CCUACGGGAUGCUGCAGUGAGGAAUAUUGGUCAAUGGGCGCGAGUCUGAACCAGCCAAGUAGCGUGAAGGAUGACUGCCCUACGGGUUGUAAACUUCUUUUAUUAAGGAAUAAAGUGAGGCACGUGUGCCUCUUUGUAUGUACUUUAUGAAUAAGGAUCGGCUAACUCCGUGCCAGCAGCCGCGGUAAUACGGAGGAUCCGAGCGUUAUCCGGAUUUAUUGGGUUUAAAGGGAGCGUAGAUGGGUUGUUAAGUCAGUUGUGAAAGUUUGCGGCUCAACCGUAUAAUUGCAAUUGAUACUGGCAGCCUUGAGUACAGUUGAGGUAGGCGGAAUUCGUGGUGUAGCGGUGAAAUGCUUAGAUAUCACGAAGAACUCCGAUUGCGAAGGCAGCUCACUGGACUGCAACUGACACUGAUGCUCGAAAGUGUGGGUAUCAAACAGGAUUAGAUACCCCAGUAGUC
Molecule: ribosomal RNA, 460 nt
Filed under: uncultured bacterium
Lineage: Bacteria
Description: partial 16S ribosomal RNA
Rfam family: Bacterial small subunit ribosomal RNA
Source: RNAcentral